UUACCCUACGGGACGCAGCAGUGAGGAAUAUUGGUCAAUGGGCGGAUGCCUGAACCAGCCAAGUCGCGUGAGGGAAGAAGGCCCUGCGGGUCGCAGACCUCUUUGGACGGGGAGCAAGGCCGCCGACGUGUCGGCGGAAGGAGAGUACCCGCAGAACAAGCAUCGGCUAACUCCGUGCCAGCAGCCGUGGUAAUACGGAGGAUGCGAGCGUUAUCCGGAUUUAUUGGGUUUAAAGGGUGCGCAGGCG
RNAcentral lists this ribosomal RNA (247 nucleotides) under uncultured bacterium. RNAcentral's name for it is "partial 16S ribosomal RNA". It matches the Rfam family "Bacterial small subunit ribosomal RNA", at positions 334 to 577 of the family's 1533-position model. The record is from RNAcentral.